GUGUAAGCUUUUCUGGUUAUUUUAUCAACGAUAAUCGCAGCAACAUAGCAGCCAUAUGACUUGCUCUAUAAAAGUUUUGCACUUAAUUUCCGCCAAAGCUUCACAGUGGAAUGCUGUAGAACAGAGUAGAACACUACAUUCCUGUGACAUACUGUAUAUCUUCGUAUAAAAAUAGGAAGGGGGACCUAGAGCGAAGGAGGGAGCAUUGAAGGAGAGGGAGGGAGAACGCUGGAUACAGCACAUCUUUCCAUCCUACGUUCCCCACUCGCAUUUGAGGAAAUUGGAACUCUGUUAAGCCCAUAUACCUGGGAAGAUGCCUACGAUGCGCCACGCACGUUGCCUCAAAGGAAACGGACUGACUGCUGAGAACGACCGAGAGUAUUCCUGAAUAAACGAGGGACACCUGACCAAGUUUACCAGCCUCCACACCUCUCUACUGGACAGUGACCAGCCUCCACGCCUCUCUACUGGACAGUGACCAGCCUCCAUUCUCUACUGGAUACUGGCCAGCCUCCACUCCUCUCCACAUGACAGUGACCAGCCUCCAGGCCCUCUACAGGAUAUCCAGCCUCCAGUCUCUAAAGGACAGUGACUUCCAGUCUCUUCUACAGGAUCGUGAAAGCAUCCUCGUUACUUGGAAUGUGAUGGAGCCAGUGAUGUGAACUGUGACAUGCUGGAAGUUUUGUGGUUGUUCUGUCUGCCUAUCCUCGGGCAGCCACUCUCCUAUCCGCUAUGCAGCCAAGAGAGGAUCGACAUUGUUGACCGUACAAAAAACGAGCUGUCCAAGGUGUCGGAGGGGGUGAACCUCACUCUGUACACGCCCACCACCACCGACAUGGGGUGCGUGCGUGUUUGUGUGCAUGUGUCUGUGUGUGUGUGUGUGUGUGUGUGUGUGUGUGUGUGAAACGGCGUCUGUGUGAGUCUUCAGCAGAGUUGUGGAAAUGCCUCUCUGAAGUGUUUCUUGGACGAGGCGAAGGUCCUGUAUAUAGAGCUGGGCGUGGGAGGAGAGUCUCUACAAAAGUUGAUCCAGAAAAUGAAUAGAAGCCUAUCACUCCUUUCCAAUUACCCUGUGCCGGAGGCCAGCUGUGAGCUUAUGUCCUGUGAGCUUCAUCCCGAGAUGUCAGCGGAUAGUUUCCUCCAUAAUCUAGGCAUAUUCUUAAUGCAGAUGAACUCUUCCUACUGUAGGAAGAGGUAGGUAGCGGGGGAAGCAAUGCUGUUUCCCUUGAGUUGCUUUUUUCUACAACUCAAAAUACACACAAACAACAGCUGCAAUGAUGGAGGCUUGUUGGAGGAGGAGGAUGGGUGACAAGCUGAUAUAAAGACUAUAACCGCUAUUGGUUAGGGUUUGUUAUUGGUUUAGGUUCAGUUUCACACAUUCCAUUCCAUUCAAUUAUGGGAUGAGUAUAUAUUUUAUUUAACUGCUUAGAUAAUGACUGGUACAUAUACAUUUCAGCACAAACUGCCAAUCAUAUGGUAUGUUAAUAAAAUCUGUGGUGUUAUA
This is a long non-coding RNA of Gadus morhua (Atlantic cod), 1501 nucleotides long. RefSeq lists it as uncharacterized. NCBI's taxonomy places the organism in Eukaryota, Metazoa, Chordata, Actinopteri, Gadiformes, Gadidae. The record is from RefSeq and is a predicted model, not a curated record. The transcript is spliced from 5 exons.